GUGUAGUGUGAAAGGAGAGACGUUUAGCACUCCCCUAGACAAGGAUGGAAACACGUAUAAAUUGGUAAGG
RNAcentral lists this small nuclear RNA (70 nucleotides) under Habropoda laboriosa. Lineage: Eukaryota; Metazoa; Arthropoda; Insecta; Hymenoptera; Apidae. The record is from RNAcentral.